This 1259-nucleotide ribosomal RNA is filed under the name uncultured bacterium. RNAcentral's name for it is "bacterial SSU rRNA". It matches the Rfam family "Bacterial small subunit ribosomal RNA", at positions 66 to 1340 of the family's 1533-position model. The record is from RNAcentral.
ACGAUGAAGCCCAGCUUGCUGGGUGGAUUAGUGGCGAACGGGUGAGUAACACGUGAGUAACCUGCCCUUAACUCUGGGAUAAGCCUGGGAAACUGGGUCUAAUACCGGAUAGGAGCGUCCACCGCAUGGUGGGUGUUGGAAAGAUUUAUCGGUUUUGGAUGGACUCGCGGCCUAUCAGCUUGUUGGUGAGGUAAUGGCUCACCAAGGCGACGACGGGUAGCCGGCCUGAGAGGGUGACCGGCCACACUGGGACUGAGACACGGCCCAGACUCCUACGGGAGGCAGCAGUGGGGAAUAUUGCACAAUGGGCGCAAGCCUGAUGCAGCGACGCCGCGUGAGGGAUGACGGCCUUCGGGUUGUAAACCUCUUUCAGUAGGGAAGAAGCGAAAGUGACGGUACCUGCAGAAGAAGCACCGGCUAACUACGUGCCAGCAGCCGCGGUAGUACGUAGGGUGCGAGCGUUAUCCGGAAUUAUUGGGCGUAAAGAGCUCGUAGGCGGUUUGUCGCGUCUGUCGUGAAAGUCCGGGGCUUAACCCCGGAUCUGCGGUGGGUACGGGCAGACUAGAGUGCAGUAGGGGAGACUGGAAUUCCUGGUGUAGCGGUGGAAUGCGCAGAUAUCAGGAGGAACACCGAUGGCGAAGGCAGGUCUCUGGGCUGUAACUGACGCUGAGGAGCGAAAGCAUGGGGAGCGAACAGGAUUAGAUACCCUGGUAGUCCAUGCUGUAAACGUUGGGCACUAGGUGUGGGGACCAUUCCACGGUUUCCGCGCCGCAGCUAACGCAUUAAGUGCCCCGCCUGGGGAGUACGGCCGCAAGGCUAAAACUCAAAGGAAUUGACGGGGGCCCGCACAAGCGGCGGAGCAUGCGGAUUAAUUCGAUGCAACGCGAAGAACCUUACCAAGGCUUGACAUGUUCUCGAUCGCCGUAGAGAUACGGUUUCCCCUUUGGGGCGGGUUCACAGGUGGUGCAUGGUUGUCGUCAGCUCGUGUCGUGAGAUGUUGGGUUAAGUCCCGCAACGAGCGCAACCCUCGUUCCAUGUUGCCAGCACGUCGUGGUGGGGACUCAUGGGAGACUGCCGGGUCAACUCGGAGGAAGGUGAGGACGACGUCAAAUCAUCAUGCCCCUUAUGUCUUGGGCUUCACGCAUGCUACAAUGGCCGGUACAAUGGGUUGCGAUACUGUGAGGUGGAGCUAAUCCCAAAAGCCGGUCUCAGUUCGGAUUGGGGUCUGCACUCGACCCAUGAAGUCGGAGUCGCUAGUA